CCCGACUGCUAUUUGGGUGAGGAUAAGCCAUGCGAGUUGAAUGGGAAACCUAAAAAUCCCAUGGCAAACUGCUCAGUAACACGUGAUCAACUUACCCUAUAGAGGAAAAUAACCUCGGGAAACUGAGGAUAAUGUUCCAUAGUUGAAUCGGCUUGGAAAAGUUUUUCAAUAAAAGGGAUAAGGAAAAUGGUCCUUAUCUGCUAUAGGAUAGGAUCGUGCUCGAUUAUGGUUGUUGGUGAGGUAAAGGCUCACCAAGCCGAUAAUCGAUAGGGGCCGUGAGAGCGGGAGCCCCGAGAUGGGUACUGAGACAACGACCCAGGCCUUGUGAGGCGCAGCAGGCGCGAAACCUCCGCAAUACACGAAAGUGUGACGGGGUUACCCAAAGUGUUCAAUAGAACUGUGGUAGGUGAGUAAUGUCCCCUACUAGAAAGGAGAGGGCAAGGCUGGUGCCAGCCGCCGCGGUAAAACCAGCUCUUCAAGUGGUCGGGAUAAUUAUUGGGCUUAAAGUGUCCGUAGCCGGUUUAGUAAGUUCCUGGUAAAAUCGGGUAGCUUAACUAUCUAUAUGCUAGGAAUACUGCUAUACUAGAGGGCGGGAGAGGUCUGAGGUACUACAGGGGUAGGGGUGAAAUCUUAUAAUCCUUGUAGGACCACCAGUGGCGAAGGCGUCAGACUGGAACGCGCCUGACGGUGAGGGACGAAAGCCAGGGGAGCGAACCGGAUUAGAUACCCGGGUAGUCCUGGCCGUAAACGAUGCAUACUAGGUGAUGGCACGGCCAUGAGCCGUGUCAGUGCCGUAGGGAAACCGUUAAGUGUGCCGCCUGGGAAGUACGGUCGCAAGGCUAAAAC
Molecule: ribosomal RNA, 846 nt
Filed under: uncultured archaeon
Lineage: Archaea
Description: bacterial SSU rRNA
Rfam family: Archaeal small subunit ribosomal RNA
Source: RNAcentral